UCCGGUUUGUCACCGGCAGUCCCAUUAGAGUGCUCAACUGAAUGUAGCAACUAAUGGCAAGGGUUGCGCUCGUUGCGGGGCUUAACCCAACAUCUCACGACACAAGCUGACGACAGCCAUGCAGCACCUGUGCGGCCGUCCCGAAGGACGCCCAAGGUUUCCCUUAGGCUUCGGCCGCAUGUCAAGCCUAGGUAAGGUUCUUCGCGUUGCGUCGAAUUAAACCACAUGCUCCACCGCUUGUGCGGGCCCCCGUCAAUUCCUUUGAGUUUCAGCCUUGCGGCCGUACUCCCCAGGCGGGGCACUUAAUGCGUUAGCGCCGGCCCUCACGGGGUCGCUCCCCCAAGGACCUAGUGCCCAUCGUUUACGGCGUGGACUAC
This 377-nucleotide unclassified non-coding RNA is filed under the name uncultured Gemmatimonadota bacterium. RNAcentral's name for it is "uncultured Gemmatimonadetes bacterium contains 16S-23S intergenic spacer region". Lineage: Bacteria; Pseudomonadati; Gemmatimonadota. The record is from RNAcentral.